AGCAGUGACCCAUCCUCACAUCUUGUGCCACGUGUCACGGAACUCCUGCCUGGUUAUGUUCAGAGCUGGCGCAGAAGCUACUGGGGACUUGACCUGAGGGAAGAAAAGAUUUGAGUUGGCUCCAAUCCCAUUAGCACAACUAGCUGGAGAUAAGCCAUCUGUCACUGCUGCUGCUGGCUUCAACUGCCACUCUAAUUGACAAUGAACCCAGAGACCUGUAAUAAUUGUGGCUGCUCAGUGACUUCGACAGGUUCUCUACUUGUGUCACUGCAGAGAAAUUUUAGGAGAAGGAUGUCUCAGGGGGCCCUCAGGCUGGCAGGCUCCCCAGUGCUACAUCCAGAUGCCAAGCUCUGGCCUCAAAGGCCAGAUUCCAGCAUUUAGGAUGGAGAGACAACCCUGAUGAUCUCCUCUUUCCAUGAGAACACAAUUCCUCAAAAUUGUCUUUUCUAAGUCUUUGAUAAGUUAACUGUCAAAAUCUUGGAGCUGAAACACCAUCUCUGACCAUUUGGGGAUAAUUUCCUCUUUAUUACUCCUCUUUUAGGUUGUACCCCCUUAUUUCAUGCUACUUACUUCUCACUCCAGGGUAUUCCCACUCUUGUGGUAUGUUCAAGUUACAAUCUUCUCCCGCAGCCAGAGGUAGAGUCAAGCUGAGAGUUGCUCUGGUCCUGACAAUGUGUUUUCUCUCCUUUAAGCCAAUUCUUCCAUCUCCUUAAUCAUUAACUUUAUAGUUUGAACCUUUUCCAAUUUGUCCACAUUUUCAGAAAAGCAAAAGCAAUACAGUACUCUAAAAAUAAACCAAGCUUUCUGUGUCUUAAACUUUGUGUAAUCUGCACAAUUAAAAAUUGAUGUUUGUAGUUUUAUUGUCUCCUGCUCUCUCUGAUGCCUACAUUCCUUAGACCCUUUUACCUUUUUACUUGUAUGCACGCAUACAUUUAAAUUACUUAUCUAUUCAUGUAACAGGAAUGCCUGAACACAGCUUAUAUAAACAACUCUUUCUCAGGACAGUCUUUCAGGGGAUGAAAGCAAGACACAUUUUUCUACUGGCUCCAGCCUCUCACUGGUCAAACAUCUGCCUCGUGGGUGUUCAUGCUUCAUGAUGGAAGUGUGAAGUGGACGUUGUCCAGUUGUGCCUGUGUGACAUUGGUCUGAGCAAGAGCUGGGACAAAUGGCUACAGCUUGCAGAUGGACGAGCCUGAGGGGGUACAAACCAUCUCAUGCAGCUUCAGGUGGGAGAAACUUGGGAAGACCCUUAACUGCCGUUUCCUGGGCUUGCUCCUGCUGGUGCAUUUUCCUGUGCUGCUUCUUAUGCCCAGUGCCUUCAUGCACCUGUCCUUCCAUCACUUGUCCAUACCUCUCAGCAAUUUCAAGCACCAGUAAGAAGAAGCAGUGUCACCCAGGUGAAAGUCUGAAUCACCCCACCUCAGGCUGACCACAGGAAAACAGAGAAUGGCAAUGGAUCUAUUUUGGGUGCUUCCUGAAUGAAGUAUAUGGGCCAGCUGUAAGCUUUUUCUUAAUUUAAUUAUCAUUUUCCACACAUAUUCAUUUGCAAACUCCUCUUCUAAACCCAAAUCUCCUUUGUUUCUCAGCACUGGUUGACUUUUUAAAGCGGAUGUCUUUGAAAUGCACUAAUGUCCAAAGAUAAAUGUGUUGCCUCAAGCACCACUUCAGGGUUGUCAGCCCCAGGUACAAUUUGCCCUUUCACUGAAGAAUCAAUGACCACUUACAUUUGUUUACCAUUUUAAAUUUGUGUGCAAGUCUGUAUAAAUAUGGCUUCAGGUUGUAUUGUUGCCUAUUUUCACAAGAUAGAAAUAUUGUGAAUAUAUUCCCAUACUUUUAAUAUUCUUUAUUAUAAUAUUAAUGAUUAUAUAAUUCCAUAUUCUAUCACAUGCCUACAUUAUAAUUUAUUUAAAUAAUUCCUUAUUGUGCUUCAUUCCAUUCAGUUUGUUUUCAAUGCUUCAUGGGUGCACUGAACAUUUUAGCAUAUAAAUAUUUGCCUUUAUAUCUGAAUAAUUGUUUACAAAAUAACUUUAACAAUUCAUGUUGUGAUACAAAUUUCCUAGGAUGAGUCAUCAGGAAGAUCAUUAAGGAAGAUUUUAAUAUAAGAAGACUUUAUUGGAUAUCUGUGAUUUGCAGAACACUGUUGAGAAACAAACAACACACAGAAUGCAAGCUUGCCUUUAAAAAUGUGUAUCCUAAUUAGGGAAAUAAUUAUGUUUCCAUGUAUAUCAUAUGUACACACACACAUACACAUAGGUAUGUAUGAUCAUCUCAUGUAUGUCAUAUAUGUGUAUUUGUGUGUAUAGAUAUACUUUUUUUUGUUAGAACAACUACAUCAAUGUGAACCAAAAAACUCACAAUGGCAGAAGAGGCCUCUGAGUCUGUUUCUUAUCUAUUUCUGAGCAUCACUAGGCACCUCUCUCCUGUGUAAUUCAUAUGACAACAACGUACACUAUGACAUGUGUUUAUUUUACCAAAUGUUGUUCUUUCAUUUGUCUUGAAUACGCUGAAUUCCCCUGCUCACCUGAACAACUGUAUUCAUCUCCCAAAACCUGUCUCUUGAUUCUGGGUAAAGAUUUUGCUUAUUGAGUCACUUCAGGUUAGUGUCCAGUCUUUUGGAUUCUGAUAUAGUGUGGGUGUGUCCCCACCCAAAUCUCAUCUUGAAUCGUAGUUCCCAUAAUUCCCAUGUGUUGCGGAAGGGACUUCCUGGAAGGUAAUCAAAUCACGGGGGUGGGUCUUUCCCGUGCUGUUCUUGCGAUAGUGAAUAAGUCUCACAAGAUCUGAUGCUUUUAUAAAGGGUAGUUCCCUUGCACACGCUUUCUUGCCUGCCACCAUGUAAAUUGUGCCCUUGUUCCUCCUUCAUCUCCUGCCAUGAUUGUGAGGCCUCCCCAGCCACGUGCAACUGUGAGUCCAUUAAAUCUCUUUCCUUUAUAAAUUACCCAGUCUCAGGUAUGUCUUCAUUAGCAGCAUGAGAACAG
This 2975-nucleotide long non-coding RNA is filed under the name Homo sapiens (human). RNAcentral's name for it is "HSALNT0026363". Lineage: Eukaryota; Metazoa; Chordata; Mammalia; Primates; Hominidae. The record is from RNAcentral.